CCUACGGGUGGCAGCAGUAGGGAAUAUUGCUCAAUGGGGGAAACCCUGAAGCAGCAACGCCGCGUGGCGGAUGAAGGGUUUCGGAUUGUAAACUCCUUUUGUUAGAGAAGAUAAUGACGGUAUCUAACGAAUAAGCAACGGCUAAUACCGUGACAGCAGCCGCGGUAAUACGGAGGGUGCAAGCGUUACUCGGAAUCACUGGGCGUAAAGAGCGCGUAGGCGGGAUAGCAAGUCAGAUGUGAAAUCCUAUGGCUUAACCAGAGAACUGCAGUUGAAUCUGGUAGUCUAGAGUAUGGGAGAGGUAGGUGGAAUUCUUGGUGUAGGGGUGAAAUGCGUAGAGAUCACGAGGAAUACUCAUGGCGAAGGCGGCCUGCUAGAACAUAACUGACGCUGAUGCUCGAAAGCGUGGGGAGCAAACAGGAUUAGAUACCCGGGUAGUC
RNAcentral lists this ribosomal RNA (440 nucleotides) under uncultured bacterium. RNAcentral describes it as "partial 16S ribosomal RNA". It matches the Rfam family "Bacterial small subunit ribosomal RNA", at positions 338 to 795 of the family's 1533-position model. The record is from RNAcentral.